This 1526-nucleotide long non-coding RNA is filed under the name Equus caballus (horse). RNAcentral's name for it is "lncRNA (ENSECAG00000056800.1)". The record is from RNAcentral. Lineage: Eukaryota; Metazoa; Chordata; Mammalia; Perissodactyla; Equidae.
UGCAGACAUGGGGAGCAGAAGGCCGCGUGAGGAGGAAGGCAGAGAUGGGGAACACGGCCAAAAGUCGGGGAAUACCAACGAUAGCCAGGGGCCGCCAGAAGCUGGUGAGGAGCGUGGACAGAUGCUCCCUCGGCCUCAGGAGGAACCAGCCAGCGGCAUCUUGACCUCGUGCUUCCUGCCUCCAGAACCAGGAGAGAACGCACGCUGUGGCUCCUUGUUCCCGAGCCCCGGGGCCUGCCCACCUGGGCCCAGGCCCAUCCUGACAGGAGGUGCCUCCCACUGCAGUGGCUUCCUUGGGAUGACCAGGUCACCUCCCUGAGCCUCGGGCUUCUCAUCCUGGAAGGUGCUGGAAACGUGCCCCUGGACCCUGGUGGGCCGUUCUGAGGUUACACAAGACCCUGUUGGAAAGCGGGUUGCAAGCGGACCCUUGUGCAAAUCGCCGUUGAAGCCGUGCUUGUGUCAGCGAGAAGGACGAGCUGGUGUGACUUCCGGACAAAGUCACUGUCUGCACCCCCUCAUCAAAUGUUCUGUCCCCAGCUCACCCCACGGGUGGCUGCUCGCUCAUCGCAGGCCGCACCUGGGUCACAGCUUGGCAGUGGAAAUAUGCCUUUUCCACCAUGUGGUGGCGGUCCAGUCGGAUGGCCGCAGUCCAGACCUGUCCCCUACAUGUGAAUUCCUCAGGGUCCCAAGUCACCCAGAGCUUGAGCGUGUCCUUGCAGUGCCGUGACCCUCCAGUGCUUUUCUUCACUUCAUUAUGAAAACACAGAGGAGGAGGCAGAGGGCCCGAGUGCCCAGCCUCGACCAAGGACACGCAGUGACCCGGGAUCGGCCUCCAGACCUGCCCGCUCCCACCCGCCUCACGUGCCGCCAGCUCUGGAGUUUCUGUUUGGCCCACGGACCCUGCAUCCGUCUCCUGCCUCCAGAGCCUCCUGCCCUUUCCCUGCCUCGUGCUGCAGAGUGCAACCCCGCCUGCUCCCAGAGCACCGCGUAAAAUGUGUGCGCGCGUGAAAGUGUUUGAAAACCGCACAGAGCAGCACCACACGCGGGCGCGUUCCGGAAUCGGGGCAUGCUCGCCUCCUGCCGCACAUGAGCUCCUCCGUCCCCGUGAGAGACAGGUGGCCCCUCGAAGCCCCAAGCUGCCCUGUGGGAUGUGGCCCAGGUUGCCCACACGGCACCCGUUCCUUCUGCUCUCUCCUCCCUGCGUGUCCAGAGGGCUCAUCAGAAAAUGGAGGGAUGGGGGCAGAGGGGCCGAUGCAUAAAAAGAUCAGAGGGCGUCGUUGCACCCGCCGUCUGGACAUUACAUCCCUGGGGCCAGCGUUCGAGGCCAGAGGCCUGAAAGUGUGAAAGCAGCUUCAGAAGCUUGGCUGCAGAGAGGAGAAGGGGGCCAGUGGGGUGGGGACCACCGUGGGGAGCCACUGGGUGGCAGUGGGUCUGUCCAGACCCAGGCUGGAACCCUUGACCUCCCCUGCUCUCUUGGCUGACUUCCAGUGGGGGUUUCAGCCUGUCUUCUGCUCCCAGGGGUCUGG